CAUAAAUAUAAUUUAUUAUUAUAAAUUGUGUACCUCAUUGUGAUGUACAUGACAACUAGUAAAAUGCAGUUGUUUACUUCACCAAGAUAAAGCCUUGGAAGAGUCUUGACUGAGGAGGUCUCAAGUGCUCUCAGUGCUCCUCAGUUCUUAUACUUCACUGGAGAAGAGACAAAGCAGUGUUGCUUCCUGCAUCUCUGUCCCUUUGCUUCUCCUUGGACUUGCCAACCAUGAAAAACAGGAAUGCAGCUCCGUCUAUCCCCAGUGAGUCUGCAGGACUCAGACUGCUAUGAACACAAUGAGAGAAUACCAGGUUGAAAGGGAUUGCAAGGACCAUCUAGUCCAACCUUUUUUGGUAAGAGCAAGGUCUAGACAUGGCGUAGUAUACUGUCCAGCUGAACCUUAAAGGUGUCCUAAACUGGAGAGAGAAUCCACCAUUACUCUGGAGAGAUUAUUCCAAUGGCUGCUGUCCUCCUUGUAAAAAAAUUUCCUCUUGUGCCCAACCAGAAUCUUCCCAGGAGUAACUUGUACCCAUCAUUUCUUGGGAUGGCUAUCCCUUGAGACAGCUCUAUUGGUAGGUACACACUCAGUGAUCUGGUUUGAGACUAGGACUCAGCUGGCCUAUGAGAUUCUGGAAACUGUAUCAUGGGCUUGACUAAGUAAGAAGUCAAAGGUAUUUUGUUUUGCUUUCAUGCUUUAUUCUUAAGCACAUUCAAGAUUGUGAGACACUUAGACAUUGUGAUGAUACUGGAGUGCACUCAGCAUUAUACAGCUUGAGCACUCCAUGAUCUCAGAUGUGGCCAUCCACCACUUAAACUCUACUGGGGUUCUCCUGUUGACCUCAUUUCACCAACAGGAAACUGAGAGACAAAGAUUCAGAACAAGAGCACCAAAGCUACUGGAGUAAAAGAGUAGCUUUCUUCAUGGAUAGCUGGGGAAUGCAAAAGGCAAAGUUACAGCCAUAUGUGCUAUGCAUGUCAAAAUGGGGAGAAACGUGCCUGAGAGAGAUGGAGCCAAGCUGCCCAGCUGGUUCCUGUGGGUGUGGUGGAAAGAUGGGGAUUUAUCAAACAGUGCUUUCCCUUCUGCACUCAGGCAGGUAUAUUGUCUUUGGGUACAAGGAGUUAUCUUUUUGGAUGAUGUUGUUGCUAGAAACUGACAAAAGAAGAUAAGGCAAUGGUGUUUUCUUUUCUGGAAGACCAUGAAAAAGAUUAUUUUGAUGAAAAAAUUGCUAACCACACUCUGUAUCUUGACAUAUCACUUAAGGUGAUGGUGGUAUUUUGUGGAUUUGGCUGCAGGGGUCUUGCCCAAAACUGCACAAAUCAGCAAUGAAAGAAGCAUCUGAAACCCAGGUGUUCCAAACAUUAGAUUUGUGCCCUCUGUAUCAAAAUAGUUCUCUUCCAUCUGCUUGGAGUCACAUGUAUGUAAAACAGGCUUUCUACAUAAUGUCACACCUGAACAUCCUGAUCUAGACCUGAAGUCUUGCUUGUUGUCUUUCUGUACCAAGAAAAACCUGUGCCACCUCACCAUCCUAAUGAAGGGAGAAUUUGUCUAUGAAAUGCAAGACAGCACAGAAGGGGGCAGGGCAGAACCUUAGAAUAAAAGAACAAGAAAUUCAAAUUAGGCUGAAGAAGGGAAAAAUUUCCAACAGAAGAAUUAACAAGCUUGCUUAAGAUAACAGGAGAUAUGGUAAACCAGUUCUUCAAGGACCGAGAUAAUUUCAAUUUUCUUCACUUAAAAUUCCAGCCUGCAGUCUCUGAUGAACUUCUUGUCAACAUGAUACAGGCUUGACACUGCUGCCCUUGUUUAGGGUCGUCUCCUCUUCUUGGCUUCUAUAAAGUCCAGAGUAAUUUUCAGUCAUCUGUUCAAGACAGGGUUCAAAGCUCUGAUAUUACUGUUAUUCUUUUUCUUCUUUCAGUCCACAUUGGUAUACAUGUCCUAUUUUCUCUCAGAAACAAAGCUGAAGAUCUGCUUCAUUCAUUGCCUUUCAGGGAAAGAAUCAAAACGGUCUCAUCACUAAGGUUAUAUGGGAAAGUCACACAAGGGCAUGCAAGUAAUGGCCUUGUGGCCCCCUCAGCAGUACUGGAUCCACUCUUCAUGAAAGAUCAUGAAAAUGAUCCAAAUUAACUAGAGUAGUAUGCAUGUGAAGGCCUCCAGAUUGCACCCAUGUUAAAAACAAGACAUGGAAUUUGCCACAGCAAUUAACAUGCAGUAACAUUUCUGAAUUGGUAGUGAUGUUUGAACUUUCAGUGGUUAGCAGAUAGGCUAACAAAUAAACUGUGCACACAAAUAAAUUGCAUCACAAAUUUACAAUGUUUUACCCAGUAUCUGAGGUCAACACCUUAAAAAGGCUGUGCUCUAUGAAAAAGCACAUACACAGGAGUGAUCUGCAGUUACCUUGUCAUUCCACCUUCUCUGGAAACCAUAACUGGAAAGGUGUAGAUAACUAACGAGAUAAAUAUUACACUAACAUUUCACUGUGGGUUUCUAAUACACACGAUACAGACACUAGAACAGUGAUCCCAGUAUCUUUAUCGUAUAUUAACACAUUUCUGAUAACAGUCUUGCUCACUCUAACCUGCCUUUUUACUGAAAUAACUUCGUUGUAAAAAAAAAAAACCAACCCCCCUUUAAAACACUGCUUUGGGAGGUACAGACUGUCAUGGUAGUAAAAAGACUUGGAUACAAAAGAUGGGGCUUCAUUUUCACAAGAGUAUGAAAGCAAGCCAGAAUCAACACUGAACACUUGUUUGCUCAAUGACUGACCUAUGGCAAGGUCACUCUCUGUGAACUGAAAAUCUACAGAAUUCAUUCUAAAAAAGUCCCACAAACAAAAAUAAUUACUCUGCGUAGUAUGUUGUCCAUAUAAGGUGCUUACAAACACAUGAACUUUAGAGAAAAUACCUUCAUUUUCUGAUAAGUUGCUGAAAUGAUGCAGUUUUGAGGUGUGCCACUAUUUGAUGGUUUUUUUCCUUGAACCUCACCUCUCAGUUUAUCAAGUUUGCUCUUCAAAGUAGUAAUCUUAUUGCUGAAGAUAAAAACACUUUGAAAAUACUGUGACAGAAUGAAAAAGGACAAGUACAUGCUAUGCUACUUUGUGAAAAAAAUAAACAAAAACCCCCAAACCUUUUAGGGAGUUACUGAUUAUUUGUGAUUGCUAAUUUUUUGAGUUCAACUCAACAGGAACUGCCUGUCAGUUGUCUACUUUUAACUGUUUGAGAACUUCACAGGGUCACCAAGAAAGCAGUAGGAUAAAGUCUCUUUUUAUUUUUGCUGGUAGACCUGAAUGCCAACAUGAAAGUAAUUUCUGACACUGCACUUUGUACUCUUUGCUAUGAAUGUCUCUCAUUAUUUUGACACUGAUAAUGGUCAAGUUUGUGUUGCCUCAAGGGAACUACAGUAACUGUAGUAACACAACAAAAAGCCAUCUAGAGAUGCCAGGUCAUCCCCUGUAAACAUACCAAAACACACAGACAGUGUUGGUAGAAUGGUGGUAAAAGUCCACUGAUAAAAUAUUUGUAGUCUUUAAACUCCACAUCUAGCUUUAACAUGUAGACCUAUAAACACAAUUCCUAACAUGAACAUGACCACAAACAGGUAUUACUGACUUGGUUCAAGAGGUAAGGAAUAAAUACAAUUCUGCUCUCUGGGGAUCCAGAUGGAUGAAGGAGGGGGAUUGCACAGUGCAGCCAGAGACAGCACAGAAGCAAGGCUGUGCCCACACUCCAGGCCAGGACUGCAGGGUACAGGCAGCUGGCACUCAACAGCAAGUAUGACAAGGGCUGCUUUACCUGCUCACGUGGCACAUGCCAAACAGCAUUCCUACAUUCUGUAAACUUCUGAAACUGCAGCUAGCUCACAUACAACUGUAUGCCACUACUUUGGUGAGACUCAUCAGGAAAGGUGUCUUCAAAGACUGACUAUGCCAAACUUUUCAUCCUUGCCGGGUGUGCAGAAGUGUAUGUGAACACUGGUGUUUAGCCUCCUCUCCCCUACUCUACCAGACUUCUAAAAAUAUCACACUUAACCUUAUCUACUGCACUUGCUUCUGAAUCAAACAGUUUUUUAUUUAAGCAAUGUGAAGUAGAAGGAAUUUUUAGCAAAGAACACCUUGGCAAAGAAAUUGUCCUUUUAACUAAAACUAGGCAUCAUGACAUAAAUAUUAAGGAAAAUGUAGAACACCAUUACCUAGUGCUUCUCCAAAAGUGUGUUUCUUGCUAGGUUCACACUAGGUGGGGUGGCAGAUAUCUUCAUUUUCUACAGUAACCAGAAACUAUAACCAGAAACCCCUAACCCAUGUGUUAAAGUUACAGUGAAGUAGUACUUCUUUCUUAUUUGCUCUGAACAAUUGUAACAGUUAUGCCUACAAAAGUACAUUAUCACCAAAAUCAUGUGGUUAUCUCUGUGGAAUUUAUAGUUUGUGCAUCCACAAACCCAUAUGCAAAAAGUGUACUAUAUGUUUACGAUACAUAAUGCGUACUUCCUUCAUUUACAAACAACAGCAUAUGCAGUAAGAAAAUGUUAAGCAAAAUACACCCUGAUAAUCAGACGACCAUGAAAGUUUAAGCCUCUCCAACAAUUAACAUCUUUCAUAACCCUGCUAGAAGCAUUAAUGAAGAUUAAAGUGUGAAAAAUGUACAUUCUUUAUUCUGCUGCUUAGAUACAGAAUAAAAUUUAACUUUUCAGAAAAUAAAACUAUAGCUACAGCUUUGAGAGCUGUCAGUUUUCUUUCGAGGAUAAAGUACAUGCACUUUUUCCAGUUACUUUAUUGCACAUAAUGUACAGUCAUAAAUGGUGUUUAUUUACAUGUGUUUUGGCAACGUCCAUGUUUGCUUUUCCCCUCAGAAUACAUUAUUUUGCACAAACAAAACCUUAAAUGUUUCACACAAACUGCCAUAAUACAAGUCAAAGCAUAUAUGUAUAUAUAUGUCGCUUUAUUGUUGCUGUAUUUUCAAUUAAUUCUAAGUUUCAGAUCUCAGUUAAACUUUGUCUUGGGAGGCAGACUCCUCCCAGUUAGUCUGUUGUCAAAGACGGACACCCGAACUGCAGGCACCAAGAAAUCAGGACUGCAGCCUGCUGUGCCUAAGCCCCAGCCCCUAUGCACCACCUGCAAUUAGUGCGCAGGCACAGAGAAGGAAGAGCACUGUACUUUCGUUAACCAGUUUGAUUCAACAUUGAUUACCACGUGUUAAUGUUAUGGGUCAUGUGUUAUUGGGACAGUAUUCUAUUAACAGUGUUUAAGAAAAGUGUAUCAAACGUAUUAAAACAAAACAGAAAUUCCAGGAACAAUUAUGUACUUCCAGCCCUAGGAAUGUGUUACUCCGUUCUGUUCAAUGUGCUAUUUCUGAUAACUGGUAUUUUUAUCCAGACACAAAGAACUGUUUCAUAUACUCAUGUUAUGAGUAUAACCUCCAAGUUAAUUUCUUAAAACACACUUCAAUGUUUCCCUACAUUUUCAGGGCAGAAAACCUUUUAGUGGUCCCCCUCAUGGAGUAUAAUCUGGCAAUAAACCUUUUGCUACAUGUAGAUUUUUGACACACUUUUAAGAGGUAUGUUCAAAUGGAAGAUCAGUAUUGUCAGUACACUGAACAUAUGCUCAUUAAAAAUAUCUGAAAGAUGUUCUUGAAGGCACUUUAUAAUGUGCACAAAAAUACUCUUGGAGAAACCAAAUUUAUUGUACUUUGGUGCAACACUUAAGAUGUGAAUAGCAUUGCUCAGCAUUUGCUGUGAAAGGCUAGAUUGUAUUUUUGCUUAUAUUCUGAUCUACCAAAAAACAAAAAUUAUCCUAAGAUAAAUCCCACUUUACUGGAUUCGAAGAGCAAUUAUCUAAUUGUCUUGAAUGUAUGAUCUUUCAAAUGUUAAGACAAUUUAACCUCAGAAUAAGAAAGAAAAAGAAACUAACUUCAGUGAUUUAGCUAUACUGAAGUCAUCAAAUUCGGUUCUAAGAACAGUUCAUAUCCUUUCCUCUAAGUGGGCAAAGCAUAAAAUAGUUAAAUUUUCAGACAGGCACUCAGAUAAAUUGAGAAAUGCCUUUCGUGGACAACAAUAAUAAAUAUAUUAUUUUGAUUUUAGAGUUUUCCUAUUUUUUUCUGUCCUUCGGUUUUAAAGUACUACGAAAUUUACAGCAACUUCAACUACUGCAUAUACUGAAGAAUGAGAUGAAAAUGCACUGUGGACAAAGUAUAACAGUAGUUUAAUAUCUAUUGAUAAAAAUACAAAAUAAUAAUAAUAUUACAGAAAAGCAGUAGUUCUGGUAACAGAAGUGUUCUUUAAUGUAAAACAUUAAAGUUUUGUUCCAUAUGAAUAGUUUCACCUAUACUGGACAGAGUACUUCACCAAACUACACGUGCACCU
This is a long non-coding RNA of Cyanistes caeruleus (blue tit), 6348 nucleotides long. RefSeq lists it as uncharacterized. Lineage: Eukaryota; Metazoa; Chordata; Aves; Passeriformes; Paridae. The record is from RefSeq and is a predicted model, not a curated record.